This 23-nucleotide small nuclear RNA is filed under the name Arabidopsis thaliana (thale cress). RNAcentral describes it as "snRNA_07282". Lineage: Eukaryota; Viridiplantae; Streptophyta; Magnoliopsida; Brassicales; Brassicaceae. The record is from RNAcentral.
UUGUUUACCGUAAUGCCGUCGAA